CGCGGCCUAUCAGCUUGUUGGUGAGGUAACGGCUCACCAAGGCAACGACGGGUAGCCGGUCUGAGAGGAUGGUCGGCCACACUGGGACUGAGACACUGCCCAGACUCCUACGGGAGGCUGCAGUCGAGAAUCUUCCGCAAUGGACGAAAGUCUGACGGAGCGACGCCGCGUGGAGGAUGGAGGCCUUCGGGUUGUAAACUCCUGUCAGGGUUCAAAGAACGGGUCGUAGUUAAUAUCUGCGAUCUUGACAUUAGGCCCAAAGGAAGCACCGGCUAACUCUGUGCCAGCAGCCGCGGUAAGACAGAGGGUGCAAACGUUGCUCGGAAUCACUGGGCAUAAAGCGCACGUAGGCGGCCGUGUAAGUGCGGUGUGAAAGCCCCCGGCCUAACCGGGGAAUUGCAUCGCAUACUGCACGGCUAGAGCUUGGGAGGGGAGAGUGGAACUCCUGGUGGAGCGGUGGAAUGCGUAGAUAUCAGGAGGAACGCCGGAGGUGAAGACGACUCUCUGGCCCAAUGCUGACGCUGAGGUACGAAAGCCAGGGGAGCGAACGGGAUUAGAUACCCCGGUAGUCCUGGCUGUAAACGAUGGGCACUAGGUGUAGGAGGUAUCAAUCCCUUCUGUGCCGUAGCUAACGCGUUAAGUGCCCCGCCUGGGGAGUACGG
This 662-nucleotide ribosomal RNA is filed under the name uncultured bacterium. RNAcentral describes it as "bacterial SSU rRNA". It matches the Rfam family "Bacterial small subunit ribosomal RNA", at positions 232 to 885 of the family's 1533-position model. The record is from RNAcentral.